GAAAACAGAAACAUUUAUCUAGAAGUGAUCAUUGAGUAUAGCACAUGUCAGAAGUAAACACAUGUAUAGAGUAGAGGAAAAGUCAGUAUACAUGGUAGAAAGCAUGUUUGAAGCAGAGGAGGGCUACGUUUGAGUAAAUGAAACAGUAGUUAAUUAUGAACAGGCAGCUUCAGUUUAUACUGGUGGUGUUUGAGCAAAUGCAAGGUUCAGCCAGGAGGAUGAGAUAUUCAAGUUCCUGAAAAAUGCAGGGUUUUAAGGAAUGGACAACACAACAAUGGGCCCAGUCUACAGGUUGUACCUACAGGAAUAAUAAUUAUGACAAGAAAGAUGGUUCUCUAUCUGUUGUUCAACAAGCAACAUCAACAGGUCACGUUCUGAGAAAAUGAUCCAAAACUCGUUGGCUGAUUUAAUGUCUUUAAAUAUGCAGCAUUGGGAUUGAAUAGAGACAGACUUACAGUAUAAAGUGUUUGCUUUGAAAAAUAGACAGUCAGGCAGAAUCAGCGGCAGAUUGUUGGUUUGAAGAUUGAACAUUUCUGGAGAACAUGUGAAUAUUUCAGACUCAACAUUAAUUUGUACAUCAGUAAGCUUAAAUUUUUUAUUUAUAACAUGAGAUUGUGUGAAAGUCAUAUAAUAUACUGAUCAAAACAGCCUACUGCUACUUCUUUUAUAACUGAACUAUUUUCACUUAAAGUAUACUGUAUUUGCAUAAUUUCCCAAAUACUAGAUGAUUUCUGUUUCAUAUAAUUAUGGCUUUAUGCAGAAAGAACAUAGUAUAGGAUAAGAAAGACAGAAUAUUUAAUUUGCAAAGUCUGUAAUGACAGUAACUGGUAGGUGAAUUAGCUGUUUGAUUAGUAUAUUGGGUGUGUGCAGUUUCUCUAAUUCUUAUUGUUAGUUUUUGAUGAUAUAGUGCUUUAUCCAGUACAUGGAUGUGAGUUUUUUUGACAAAACAGCAUUGAAAUGUUCAGAGUGAAAAAAAUGACAGAAAAAAAAUUGUUAUUUUUAAAAGCUAAGUUAGCAAGGUUUGACACAUUUUCUGAGUAUAAGGUAGAUGUAUUUUAUAGGCAUUUAUAUUGACUUAAAAAUAAGAGUAAGGAUUCCAUGACAUAAGUAAAAUAAAUGACUGCUUGAACCUCAGCUCCUAAGAAGUGGUUGGAUCUAAAAACUUGUCCAAGGUACCGAAAACAAAAACAAACAUCCACCCAUUCUAGAUUCAGCUCAGAUUUGCAAAAAAGUAAACACCAUUGCCUGCUACAGGUAUUUUCAUUUAUACAGUCUUCCAUGCAGUGAUCUCCCUUACCUAUAGGUAGAGAUUUCUGAAGUUGAUGGGAAGCAACUCCUGCAUGCAGUUUGACUUUAAUUUCCUAAAAAGACUGCCCCAGUCAAAAUAAGAAAAGUCGUAUUUGGAAACUUAUUAUUUCGUACUGGUAACUGAAAGAGUUUGGUAUAUUUGGUUAAAAGCUAUAAUUUCCUCCACCCUUUUUACACAUACAUCUAUUUCAACUGGAUUUUUCCCUGAAAAAUGCGAAUAAUUCCACUUUAAACUGUUACGUAUGUAGGAUGAACCAGAUUCAUUUCCUUAGUAAGAUUCCUGUAAAGUUAAAGACUCCAGGUAAACUACAUUUCGAGAGUACAAGUCUUACGCAGCUAAACCAGCAGUGCAUAAUGUUAUAAAAUAAAGUUUGAUUACUCUAGGUUGAAUACUUUCUGAGAUACAUGCCACAUAACUUUUAGGUCCUUUAUACAUAAUUUUGACUAAACCAAGGGAGGGAAAAUAAUGAAUAAGAUCAGAAUUUAAGAUUUUUAUAUGAUCUUCUGUCUCAUUUUAAAACCAUUCUUAUCGAUUAUUUAAUGGAUGUUUUCAUUGAACAGUAAGAUAGAAUCUACAUCUAUUGAUUAUUCACUAAUAUUCGUAAAUAGGAAAUGUAUGGGAAUGUACAAUAUUUAACUGAGAAGCUUGCUUUAAAUAUAUUGCCCCUUGUCUUAGUAGAACCACAGUUGUACAACUUUACAUGCUGAAUAAUAUUAUUAUAAUGUUUGAUGACCUUUUGAAAUGCAAAUGGCAGAAAUUUUGUUGGAUGGACAAAGAAAAAUGUGCCCAGGUGGUAGGAGAGAGACAGAAAAAUAACAUUCUGUAAAGAUAAUGCUAACUGUUCCAAUAAUACUAACUGUUCCGAUAUUGCUAACUGGAUAAUGAUAUCUGCGAGGAUAAUAAUGAAUAAAUGUUCAGAUAAUGCUAACUGUUUCAAUAAUGCUAACUGUUCCGAUAUUGCUAACAGGAUAAUGAUAUCUGUGAGGAAAAUGAUGAAUAAAUGUUUGGAUAAUGCCAACUGUUGUGAUAAUGAUAACUAACUGGGUAAAGAUAACUGUUUGGAUUUUAUUAUUUGAAUAAUGUUAAAAAAAUUGGACCAUGAUAAAUAACAUGUUUGGAUGUGAACUGGUUACAGAUAAUGCUAACUGUUCGGACAGUAAUAACUGUAAAGAUAACGAUAAUAGAAACUGUUAGCUAUUUUGCAAACAUGUCAGUCAGGAUUUUGAGUUAUUAAUUCCUGGGCUUUAUUUAUCUCUUAUGUGAAUGCUCAGCAUCUGAGCUACAAAGUAUAAUAUAUUGGCGCUGUAUUGGAGUCAUGCGUGUCUGACCAAUUGUAUAUCAGUUAUGUCCACUCAGUGUCUUCUUCCCUAAAUUUUCGUAAAACUUGCAUCAGUUUUUGUUAUCCUCAUCAAGACAAUGUGCAGAGCCUUAAUCCAAGUCACUAGGUUAAAGGUCAAGGUCAGUCUUUGGCGGUCAAAAUUUUAAUGUUAUGGUCGCAAAAAUUUUCUUUCCAUGUAUCAGAACGGCAUCAAGGGGUAUUAAUCGCCUUUAGUGAUAGCUCUAGAUUUCAAAGGUUAGUUUAAUCCCCAAGAAUUUUGCAGACUAUUUACCAAUUUGAAUGUUCUUUAUUGGAAACUUGACUCAUCUGGUCCAGGUAGACAUCAGAGGUAUAGGAUUCAAAUUAUGGCUAUGAUUUCUAAAAUUCAAAUCUCUUCUUUAGCCACAUGAUGUUAUUUAAUGCGGAAUCAACUGGAUAUAAAACAGUACACUUUCCUAAGUUCCCAACACUGUGAAUAGUACUUGGGUAUAUUUGAAACAUUAUUUUAGGACAUUUUAUUCUAGAUAUUUGUGCUAAGACAUUUGUAUUGAAAUAUUUUGGUAAAGUAAUAGAAGUUUGUGUUCUAUUCUGAAAAGUGUUUGCCACAGUUUUCUUUCAUGAAAUAAUAAUUUAAGAGUUACAAAAGGGACUUUCAUGUUAAAACAUUUGAUGUCAGUGGUGGUUAAUAUAUAAAUUCCUUUGAUAACCUUGUGGUGUUAUUUUUAUGCUCCCCGAAGGGUGAGCAUAUAGUUGCGGCAAAAUUGUCCGUCCGCCCAUCACACUUUUGUCUGGAGUAUAGCUUGAAAAGUAUUAAAGGCAUUUGAUUGAAACUUCACAUAAUCAUAGAGGCCAUUGAGACAAAGUGCAGUGUCAAAGAAUCAUAACUCUACCUUACCUAGUUUUUGAAUUAUCUCCCUUUAUUAUGCAAAAUAAGGCUUGUCCGUAGUAUUACUUGAAAUGUAUUAAUGGCAUUUCAUUUAAACUUCAAAAAAUGACAGAAGCCAUUGACGGGAAGUACAUUGUCAAAGAACCAUAACUCUACUUUACCUAGUUUUUGAAUUAUCUCCCUUUAUUAUACAAAACAAGGCUUGUCCGGAGUAUAACUUGAAAAGUACUAAUGGCAUUUGAUUGAAACUUCACAUAAUCAUAGAAGCCAUUGAGACAAAGUGCGUGUUAAAGAAUCGUAACUGAGCUACCUUACCUAGUUUUUUAAUUAUCUCGUUUUAUUAUACAAAAUAAGGCUUGUCAGGAGCAUUACUUGAAAAGUAUUAAUGGCAUUUCAUUGAAACUUCACAAAAUGAUAGAGGCAAUUGACGGGAAGUGCAGUGUCAAAGAACCAUAACUCUACUUUACCUAGUUUUUUUAAUUAUCUCCCCUUAUUAUACAAAAUAAGGCUUGUCUGGAGUAUAACUUGAUAUUGAUGGCAUUUGAUUGAAAUGUCACAUAAUCAUAGAGGCCAUUGAGACAAAGUCAGUUUCAAAGAAUCAUAACUACUUUACCUAGUUUUUGUAUUAUCUCCCUUUAUUAUACAAAAUAACGCUUGUCUGGAGCAGUACUUGAAAUGUAUUAAUGGCAUUUCAUUGAAACUUCACAAAAUGAUAGAGGCCAUUGAAGGGAAGUGCGGUGUUAAAGAAAGAACCAUAACUCUACCUUAACUAGUUUUUGAAUUAUCUCCCUUUAUUCAAUAUUCUUCUUUUUAUUAUCAAUAUUUUUUGUUUGUUUCUAAUACAUUAUUCCGCAUAUUGGGACAAGCACAUGCAUCGAGGAGCAUCAUUCAGUUUUACAGAUUCCUUGUUAUAAACUGCAAGGGUGAUUUCGAGGAUAAGUACAAUUCUUUAAUAAGUUUACAUUACUGACCACUCCACAAUUAUUUAAUACAAACAUUUUCAUGUAAAUCAAGAGUAGAAACUGCUGUCUAUUGAUAUAACAUAUUUCUGUAAACCAUAAUUAGUGGGUGCAUUAUAUGACAGAAUUAUUUUAAAUUUAAUUCUUAUGUUAGAUCAGUGAUAAAAUUUAUGUGCUCUCCCAAAAAUUUUUAUAUCAUACCUGUUUUUUGGUUGGCUACUUUACUUAUAGGCAGCCAUUCUACUUGGUGUCAUACACAGAAACUUCAUAGAAAGACUUCUUUUUUAACUGAACAGCAUCUGAAGUGUGUGAAUCGGCCUUUACCCUGCUAAAUUUCUAAAAUGGACCGGUCCUUCAUUCAGUUUGAGCAGUACAAUAUAUUAUUUGAAGAGGUGUUCACUGAACAUUUACUGACUGAAUAAAGAACAGUGCAGACUAUGAUCUGUGCAGGCUGAUCUUGGUCUGUACUGGCCGCAAAGGCAGAAUAACUUGCCGCCAGCAGACUAAAAGUUAAGCUAAGUGUAGAAUAUAUAUGUAACUAGGCAUGUGAUGCAUAAUAAAUACAAAAUUAUAUGUAUUAAUACAUUCACAAUUAUGCAAAAUUUACUAUUUUAGUUGUAGAAACAGUACCAUUUUGACUAUGCAAAAGUUCUUUGCACUAAAACAAAGAACACUGAAA
Mercenaria mercenaria is the source of this 5151-nucleotide long non-coding RNA. RefSeq lists it as uncharacterized. The transcript has 3 exons. The record is from RefSeq and is a predicted model, not a curated record. NCBI's taxonomy places the organism in Eukaryota, Metazoa, Mollusca, Bivalvia, Venerida, Veneridae.